This 774-nucleotide ribosomal RNA is filed under the name uncultured bacterium. RNAcentral's name for it is "bacterial SSU rRNA". It matches the Rfam family "Bacterial small subunit ribosomal RNA", at positions 8 to 796 of the family's 1533-position model. The record is from RNAcentral.
AGAGUUUGAUCCUGGCUCAGGACGAACGCUGGCGGCGUGCUUAACACAUGCAAGUCGAGCGGUAAGGCUCCUUCGGGAGUACACGAGCGGCGAACGGGUGAGUAACACGUGAGCAAUCUGCCCUUCACACGGGGAUAACUCCGGGAAACCGGUGCUAAUACCCGAUACGACCACUUCAGGCAUCUGAUGGUGGUGGAAAGUUCCGGCGGUGAAGGAUGAGCUCGCGGCCUAUCAGCUUGUUGGUGGGGUAAAGGCCUACCAAGGCAACGACGGGUAGCCGGCCUGAGAGGGUGACCGGCCACACUGGGACUGAGACACGGCCCAGACUCCUACGGGAGGCAGCAGUGGGGAAUAUUGGACAAUGGGCGAAAGCCUGAUCCAGCAACGCCGCGUGAGGGAUGACGGACUUCGGGUUGUAAACCUCUUUCAGUAGGGACGAAGCGCAAGUGACGGUACCUACAGAAGAAGCACCGGCCAACUACGUGCCAGCAGCCGCGGUAAUACGUAGGGUGCGAGCGUUGUCCGGAAUUAUUGGGCGUAAAGGGCUCGUAGGCGGUCUGUCGCGUCGAAAGUGAAAACUCAGGGCUUAACCCUGAGCCUGCUUCCGAUACGGGCAGACUAGAGGUAUGCAGGGGAGAACGGAAUUCCUGGUGUAGCGGUGAAAUGCGCAGAUAUCAGGAGGAACACCGGUGGCGAAGGCGGCUCGCUGGGCCGGUCCUGGCGCUCGGGCGCGAAAGCGUGGGGAGCGAUCCGGAUUAGAUACCCGUGUAGUCC